UACGUGAGGCGGAGCAAAACACAAAACACAGUCUCAGUUCAGAUUGUAGGCUGAAACUCGCCUAUAUGAAGUCGGAAUUGCUAGUAAUCGCGGAUCAGCAUGCCGCGGUGAAUACGUUCCCGGGCCUUGUACACACCGCCCGUCACACCAUGAGAGUCGAUAACACCCGAAGCCUGUAGUCUAACAGCAAUGAGGACGCAGUCGAAGGUGGGAUUGAUAAUUAGGGUGAAGUCGUAACAAGGUAAC
This 246-nucleotide ribosomal RNA is filed under the name uncultured bacterium. RNAcentral describes it as "partial 16S ribosomal RNA". It matches the Rfam family "Bacterial small subunit ribosomal RNA", at positions 1254 to 1500 of the family's 1533-position model. The record is from RNAcentral.